UUCCUACGGGGCGCAGCAGUGGGGGAUAUUGCACAAUGGGGGGAACCCUGAUGCAGCGACGCCGCGUGGGUGAAGGAGCGUUUCGGCGCGUAAAGCCCUAUCGGCAGGGAAGAAAAUGACGGUACCUGAGUAAGAAGCCCCGGCUAACUACGUGCCAGCAGCCGCGGUAAUACGUAGGGGGCAAGCGUUAUCCGGAUUUACUGGGUGUAAAGGGAGCGUAGACGGCCAGACAAGUCUGAAGUGAAAAUCCAGCGCUUAACGUUGGAAGUGCUUUGGAAACUGCCGGGCUAGAGGGGAGGAGGGGG
This 305-nucleotide ribosomal RNA is filed under the name uncultured bacterium. RNAcentral's name for it is "bacterial SSU rRNA". It matches the Rfam family "Bacterial small subunit ribosomal RNA", at positions 336 to 658 of the family's 1533-position model. The record is from RNAcentral.